UAGGGAAUCUUCUGCAAUGGACGAAAGUCUGACCGAGCAACGCCGCGUGAGUGAAGAAGGUUUUCGGAUCGUAAAACUCUGUUGUUAGAGAAGAACAAGGACGUUAGUAACUGAACGUCCCCUGACGGUAUCUAACCAGAAAGCCACGGCUAACUACGUGCCAGCAGCCGCGGUAAUACGUAGGUGGCAAGCGUUGUCCGGAUUUAUUGGGCGUAAAGCGAGCGCAGGCGGUUUCUUAAGUCUGAUGUGAAAGCCCCCGGCUCAACCGGGGAGGGUCAUUGGAAACUGGGAGACUUGAGUGCAGAAGAGGAGAGUGGAAUUCCAUGUGUAGCGGUGAAAUGCGUAGAUAUAUGGAGGAACACCAGUGGCGAAGGCGGCUCUCUGGUCUGUAACUGACGCUGAGGCUCGAGAGCGUGGGGAGCAAACAGG
This 429-nucleotide ribosomal RNA is filed under the name Gemmatimonadota bacterium. RNAcentral describes it as "Gemmatimonadetes bacterium partial 16S ribosomal RNA". It matches the Rfam family "Bacterial small subunit ribosomal RNA", at positions 355 to 776 of the family's 1533-position model. The record is from RNAcentral. Lineage: Bacteria; Pseudomonadati; Gemmatimonadota.